RNAcentral lists this small nucleolar RNA (106 nucleotides) under Phaseolus vulgaris (common bean). RNAcentral describes it as "Plant small nucleolar RNA R71". It matches the Rfam family "Plant small nucleolar RNA R71". Rfam says of the family: R71 is a member of the C/D box family of snoRNAs containing the C (UGAUGA) and D (CUGA) box motifs. Multiple nearly identical copies of this snoRNA have been identified in Arabidopsis, and it is thought to function as a 2'-O-ribose methylation guide for 18S ribosomal RNA. The record is from Rfam by way of RNAcentral. Lineage: Eukaryota; Viridiplantae; Streptophyta; Magnoliopsida; Fabales; Fabaceae.
AACCCAUGAUUUGAGCAUUUUCUAAGCAUCAUUUUGAAUCUCUCUCAUGUCUCACAAAAAAAUUCAUCUGCUUCUUGUUUGAAAAUAGAAAUUUCAGACUUUGCUU